This 545-nucleotide transfer RNA is filed under the name uncultured cyanobacterium. RNAcentral's name for it is "partial 16S-23S ribosomal RNA intergenic spacer". The stretch from base 212 to 284 matches the Rfam family "tRNA". The record is from RNAcentral. Lineage: Bacteria; Bacillati; Cyanobacteriota.
CAGGGAGACAACAAAAUGUUUAAUAUUAUUAUUUUGUCACCUUAGGUCGAUCGGUAUCUCACGUUUUUAAUUUAUUAAGAAUUUCAUUUCCUAAGUUUUUCUAGGUCACACCCAUUAUUUUUCCUGGGCCAUUAGCUCAGGUGGUUAGAGCGCACCCCUGAUAAGGGUGAGGUCCCUGGUUCAAGUCCAGGAUGGCCCAUAUCUCUAUGUUGGGGGUAUAGCUCAGUUGGUAGAGCGCCUGCUUUGCAAGCAGGAUGUCAGCGGUUCGAGUCCGCUUACCUCCACUGAUUACCACCUCUUCCAUAAUUUAUAGAAGGGAGAUUUUUUGAGUUGUGAUCAAAUUCUGAACGAAUCUAGCUUCCUAAUAAUCUUAAUUAAGAUGCUGGACUCAUUGAAUUAUUUUUCAUUGUUUUCAGAGAACCUUGACAACUGCAUAGAUUAUUUUUAAAGACAAUAAGCAUCUUUAAUGAUGCAGAUUUAUUAUUUGUGCGAAUGCAUUAAAUAACAAUUCUAUUAAGCUGAUGCUUCAAAUUUUUGAAGUUAUU